This 497-nucleotide ribosomal RNA is filed under the name uncultured bacterium. Its description in RNAcentral is "partial 16S ribosomal RNA". It matches the Rfam family "Bacterial small subunit ribosomal RNA", at positions 28 to 507 of the family's 1533-position model. The record is from RNAcentral.
GAUGAACGCUGGCGGCGUGCCUAAUACAUGCAAGUCGAGCGAACGGACGAGAAGCUUGCUUCCCUGAUGUUAGCGGCGGACGGGUGAGUAACACGUGGAUAACCUACCUAUAAGACUGGGAUAACUUCGGGAAACCGGCGCUAAUACCGGCUAAUAUUUUGAACCGCAUGGUUCAAAAGUUAUAGACGGUCUUGCUGUCACUUAUAGAUGCAUCCGCGCUGCAUUAGCUAGUUGGUAAGGUAACGGCUUACCAAGGCAACGAUGCAUAGCCGACCUGAGAGGGUGAUCGGCCACACUGGAACUGAGACACGGUCCCGGCUCCUGCGGGAGGCAGCAGUAGGGAAUCUUCCGCAAUGGGCGAAAGCCUGACGGAGCAACGGCGCGUGAGUGAUGAAGGUCUUCGGAUCGUAAUACUCUGUUAUUAGGGAAGAACAUAUGUGUAAGUAACUGUGCACAUCUUGACGGUACCUAAUCAGAAAGCCACGGCUAACUACGUG